UACGUAGGGUGCGAGCGUUGUCCGGAUUUACUGGGCGUAAAGAGCGCGCAGGCGGUCGUUCAAGUCGCGUGUGAAAGCCCCCGGCUCAACUGGGGAGGGUCACGCGAUACUGAUCGACUCGAAGGCAGGAGAGGGUAGUGGAAUUCCCGGUGUAGUGGUGAAAUGCGUAGAUAUCGGGAGGAACACCAGUGGCGAAGGCGACUACCUGGCCUGUUUCUUGACGCUGAGGCGCGAAAGCUAGGGGAGCAAACGGG
RNAcentral lists this ribosomal RNA (254 nucleotides) under uncultured bacterium. RNAcentral's name for it is "partial 16S ribosomal RNA". It matches the Rfam family "Bacterial small subunit ribosomal RNA", at positions 524 to 776 of the family's 1533-position model. The record is from RNAcentral.